This 864-nucleotide long non-coding RNA is filed under the name Oryctolagus cuniculus (rabbit). RNAcentral's name for it is "lncRNA (ENSOCUG00000037764.1)". Lineage: Eukaryota; Metazoa; Chordata; Mammalia; Lagomorpha; Leporidae. The record is from RNAcentral.
CAGACUGAACUCAGGGAGCUGGGUGAGGUGUGGGGGGGAAACUCACUGCACUAACUGAAAUUCAAAAUGCCAAGGCUUUGAAAGUUGUUACAAGGGGUAGCAAUGGCAUAGCAGAUUAAGCUGCUGCUUGGGAAAUGGGCAUCCCAUACUGGAGGGAUGGUUUGAAUCCUGGCUGCUCCUCUUCCAGUUCAGCUCCCAGCUAAUGUGACUGGGAAGGUAGCAGAGGAUGACCCACGUUCUUGAGUCCCUGCCACCCAUGUAAGAGUAUAGAAUGCCUGGCUGAGACGUAGCUGUUGCAGCCAUUUGAGGAGUAAACCAGAGGUUAGAAAAAUCUCUCUCCUCCUUUUUCUCGUUGCACUUAUUUCCAAAUAAAACAACAACAACAACAACAACAAUAAUAAUAAUAAAACAUUGGUUCAAAACAGAGGUGUAUUGGAGGAAGCGGACAGGUUACAGGUAGAGAGCCCUGCAGAAGGCUGGGAUUUAUCGAGCAGCUGACAGAAGGUGGUGGCAGAGCUAGGUCAUGGCACAUUUGCCACAGUUCUUCCCUCUUUCCUCAGCCCUGCAAAGACCACAGAAGCCCCCAGUAUAGGGUUGUGCUUAUUCUGAGGUUGAGGAGGCUGACACUCGUCCCUCCUGAGCUGGGAGGGCACCACUGGGACAGGACUGGUAGAACUCCACAAAGCUACCAUUACCCAGAACCCCCUCUUUCCAUGUGUCCAGUAACUGACGGACCUGGGGUUCAUUUUCUAGACAGGAGGCAUGUUUGGCAGAGCUGGAUGGAUCCAGCUCUGCAGGUCCUGCCGACUUGAGGACAUUUGCUUCCAGCUUCAAGGAGCUGUGGGACCUGGAGGUCUUGCUGGU